Molecule: transfer RNA, 76 nt
Filed under: Candidatus Doudnabacteria bacterium RIFCSPHIGHO2_01_FULL_46_24
Lineage: Bacteria; Candidatus Doudnaibacteriota
Also listed under: 3 other names
Description: tRNA-Arg
Rfam family: tRNA
About the family: Transfer RNA (tRNA) molecules are approximately 80 nucleotides in length.
Source: RNAcentral
CCUCUCGUAGCUCAAUGGAUCAGAGCAGAUCCGUCCUAAGGAUAAGAUGGGGGUUCGACUCCCUCCGAGAGGACCA